UCUGCCAAGAAGGAGGGCAAACAGUGGAGAGCCAGUGGUCAGAAAACAGGAUAGAGGAACAGAAAGCACAAUUACAAAGAACACAAAGGAAAAUGAAUCUCAUAUUUCUUUUUGGAGAAGAAUCUCCAGAAUCCUGACCUCAAGCAUGAAAUGACCUAGAGAACAAAAGAUACAAGAAGCAAGAACUGAGCCAAAGCUGGGCAUAGCAUCACAUUUAAAGCUCUGUGAUGAAGGAGGCUCUUGUGUGUUCACUCCUAGGGAGGACACCCACAGCUUCCGCUUUUGGCGGCAUCGGGAGGCUGCAGCUCG
Myodes glareolus (Bank vole) is the source of this 309-nucleotide long non-coding RNA. RefSeq lists it as uncharacterized. The record is from RefSeq and is a predicted model, not a curated record. Lineage: Eukaryota; Metazoa; Chordata; Mammalia; Rodentia; Cricetidae.